UCCCUGGUGGUCCAGUGGCUAAGACUCUGUACUCCCUAUGCAGGGGCCCAGGUUCAACUCCUAGUCAGAGAA
This 72-nucleotide transfer RNA is filed under the name Bos taurus (domestic cattle). It matches the Rfam family "tRNA". From Rfam's summary of the family: Transfer RNA (tRNA) molecules are approximately 80 nucleotides in length. Their secondary structure includes four short double-helical elements and three loops (D, anti-codon, and T loops). RNAcentral also lists the same sequence under 5 other names. Lineage: Eukaryota; Metazoa; Chordata; Mammalia; Artiodactyla; Bovidae. The record is from Rfam by way of RNAcentral.